Molecule: ribosomal RNA, 505 nt
Filed under: uncultured bacterium
Lineage: Bacteria
Description: partial 16S ribosomal RNA
Rfam family: Bacterial small subunit ribosomal RNA
Source: RNAcentral
GACGAACGCUGGCGGCGUGCCUAAUACAUGCAAGUCGAACGCACAGUUUAUACCGUAGCUUGCUACACCAUAGACUGUGAGUUGCGAACGGGUGAGUAACGCGUAGGUAACCUGCCUGGUAGCGGGGGAUAACUAUUGGAAACGAUAGCUAAUACCGCAUAAUAUUAAUUAUUGCAUGAUAAUUAAUUGAAAGGAGCAAUUGCACCACUACCAGAUGGACCUGCGUUGUAUUAGCUAGUAGGUGAGGUAACGGCGCACCUAGGCGACGAUACAUAGCCGACCUGGGAGGGGGGUCGGCCGCACUGGGACUGGGACGCGGCCCAGACGCCUGCGGGAGGCAGCAGAAGGGAAUCUUCGGCAAUGGACGGAAGUCUGACCGAACAACGCCGCGUGAGUGGAGAAGGGUUUCGGAUCGUAAAGCUCGGUUGUAAGAGAAGAACGGGUGUGGGAGUGGAAAGUUCACACUGUGACGGUAUCUUACCAGAAAGAGACGGCUAACUACGUG